RNAcentral lists this ribosomal RNA (503 nucleotides) under uncultured bacterium. RNAcentral's name for it is "partial 16S ribosomal RNA". It matches the Rfam family "Bacterial small subunit ribosomal RNA", at positions 30 to 523 of the family's 1533-position model. The record is from RNAcentral.
AUUGAACGCUGGCGGCAGGCUUAACACAUGCAAGUCGAGCGGGGUGAUGGUGCUUGCACUAUCACUUAGCGGCGGACGGGUGAGUAAUGCUUAGGAAUCUGCCUAUUAGUGGGGGACAACAUCUCGAAAGGGAUGCUAAUACCGCAUACGUCCUACGGGAGAAAGCAGGGGAUCACUUGUGACCUUGCGCUAAUAGAUGAGCCUAAGUCGGAUUAGCUAGUUGGUGGGGUAAAGGCCUACCAAGGCGACGAUCUGUAGCGGGUCUGAGAGGAUGAGCCGCCACACUGGGACUGAGACACGGCCCAGACUCCUACGGGAGGCAGCAGUGGGGAAUAUUGAACAAUGGGGGGAACCCUGAUCCAGCCAUGCCGCGUGUGUGAAGAAGGCCUUAUGGUUGUAAAGCACUUUAAGCGAGGAGGAGGCUCUUUUGGUUAAUACCCAAGAUGAGUGGACGUUACUCACAGAAUAAGCACCGGCUAACUCUGUGCCAGCCGCCGCAGUAA